ACUAUGACGCGCCCUUGUCAUUCUUCUUGCCCCGUGUGUUUAUACUACUGGACGGAGAACUGAUAAGGGCAUGUCAUGUA
This is a non-coding RNA of Papilio xuthus (Asian swallowtail), 80 nucleotides long. The record is from Rfam. Lineage: Eukaryota; Metazoa; Arthropoda; Insecta; Lepidoptera; Papilionidae.